UUCGUCACACUAUCAUUAACUGAAUCCAUAGGUUAAUGAGGCGAACCGGGGGAACUGAAACAUCUAAGUACCCCGAGGAAAAGAAAUCAACCGAGAUUCCCCCAGUAGCGGCGAGCGAACGGGGAGGAGCCCAGAGCCUGAAUCAGCAUGUGUGUUAGUGGAAGCGUCUGGAAAGGCGCGCGAUACAGGGUGACAGCCCCGUACACAAAAGCGCAUGUGCUGUGAGCUCGAUGAGUAGGGCGGGACACGUGGUAUCCUGUCUGAAUAUGGGGGGACCAUCCUCCAAGGCUAAAUACUCCUGACUGACCGAUAGUGAACCAGUACCGUGAGGGAAAGGCGAAAAGAACCCCGGCGAGGGGAGUGAAAAAGAACCUGAAACCGUGUACGUACAAGCAGUGGGAGCACCCUUUGGGUGUGACUGCGUACCUUUUGUAUAAUGGGUCAGCGACUUAUAUUCUGUAGCAAGGUUAACCGAAUAGGGGAGCCGGAGGGAAACCGAGUCUUA
Molecule: ribosomal RNA, 505 nt
Filed under: Salmonella enterica subsp. enterica serovar Enteritidis
Lineage: Bacteria; Pseudomonadati; Pseudomonadota; Gammaproteobacteria; Enterobacterales; Enterobacteriaceae
Description: partial 23S ribosomal RNA
Rfam family: Bacterial large subunit ribosomal RNA
Source: RNAcentral